Molecule: ribosomal RNA, 1310 nt
Filed under: marine sediment metagenome
Description: eukaryotic LSU rRNA
Rfam family: Eukaryotic large subunit ribosomal RNA
Source: RNAcentral
GGACGGUGGUCAUGGAAGUCGAAAUCCGCUAAGGAGUGUGUAACAACUCACCUGCCGAAUCAACUAGCCCCGAAAAUGGAUGGCGCUCAAGCGAGUCCCCGAAACCGGGCCAUUGUGGCAGAUGCGAAGCCACAAUGAGUAGGAGGGCGUGGGGGUUGCGGCGAAGGCGCGGGCGCGAGCCCCGCUUAGAGCAGCCUCUAGUGCAGAUCUUGGUGUUAGUAGCAAAUAUUCAAAUGAAAACUUUGAAGACCGAAGUGGAGAAAGGUUUCACGUGAACAUCAUUUGGACGUGAGUGACUCGGUCCUAAGGUAUUCCGUAUGGGAUUCAGAAGGCGCGGCUUGUCGCGCCAUCGGCCAAAAGGGCAAUCGGUUAAAAUUCCGAUAGUGCGGACACGGUGCUGAGCGGCAACGCGUUCGAACCAGGUGACGGUAGCCCGGGCCCCGGGAAGAGUUCUCUUUUCUUUUUGACACAGCAACAGGCCAUGAAAUAGGAUUACCCUUAGAUAUGGCGGGUUGCGUGGCAGAGCGGCUGACCCUUUCAGCCGUCCGGUGCGCUCGGGAAGCCCCUUGAAAAGCCUGGGGAGUGCAUGCACUCGGUCCCAGCCGUACUCAUAACCGCAUCAGGUCUCCAAGGUUAAAAGCCUCUGGUCAAUAGAACAAUGUAGGUAAGGGAAGUCGGCAAAUUGGUUCCGUAAGUUCGCGAUAUGGAAUGGCUCGUCAGACUGGAUGGUAGAGGCUCGGUCCAUGAAGCGUGCUAGCUGACAGGACUAGCUAGGCCGCCUUCGGGUGCGCCCGGCUGGGCCUGCUUUGUAGGCGUGUGGAGGGAUCGAGACAGCGCGCGGCCUUUCGGGGACCCGUCGCAUUCUCGCCAUGACUAGCAGUCAAUGACGAACUCGUAGUGACCACAGGAACCCGACUGUUUAAUUAAAACAAAGCAUUGUGAUGGCCCUCGCGGGUGUUGACACAAUGUGAUUUCUGCCCAGUGCUCUGAAUGUCAAUGUGAUGUAAUUCAAUUAAGCGCGGGUAAACGGCGGGAGUAACUAUGACUCUCUUAAGGUAGCCAAAUGCCUCGUCAUCUAAUUAGUGACGCGCAUGAAUGGAUCAACGAGGUUCCUACUGUCCCUAUCUACUAUCUAGCGAAACCACAGCCAAGGGAACGGGCUUGGGAGUAACGGCGGGGAAAGAAGACCCUGUUGAGCUUGACUCUAGUCUGACAUUGUGAAAUGACCUGAUUGGUGCAGCAUAAGUGGGAGCGCAAGCGACAGUGAGAUACCACUACUUUCCGCGUUGUUUUUCUUACAUGGUUAGCAA